Mus musculus (house mouse) is the source of this 8353-nucleotide RNA transcript. It is a transcript of the gene named discoidin, CUB and LCCL domain containing 2, with no coding region annotated. The record is from RefSeq and is marked validated. NCBI's taxonomy places the organism in Eukaryota, Metazoa, Chordata, Mammalia, Rodentia, Muridae. The transcript has 18 exons.
CGCUCAUUGGUCUCAGCAUGAGGAGGAGGCGUGGCCAGCGCGCGCGGGAGGGAGGGAGGGCGAGAGAGCGGGGCCGGCCCGCCCGAGAGACGGUCGGUCUACGAGCGCGGCGGGAGCGCGUUCCAGCUCGGGCCCCGGUGCUAUCCUCCGAUCCGCCGCGCUCCGGCCUGGGGUCUCGGGGCGGGAAGCUCGGUGAAGCGGGCGCGGGGAGCAGGGCGGAGGGGACGAGGCGCGCUGCGCUGCCGCCCGGUCCUCACCGGGUGCUGCGGGCCCCGGGCGCGCGGGGCUCCGCGGCGCGCGCACUAUGCGGGCGGAUUGCCGGCCGCCGCGAUGGCGAGCCGGGCGCCGCUGAGAGCCGCGCGCAGCCCCCAGGGUCCCGGAGGCCCGGCCGCGCCCGCCGCCACCGGCCGGGCCGCGCUGCCCAGCGCCGGCUGCUGUCCCCUCCCUCCUGGCCGCAACUCCUCCUCCAGGCCUCGACUGCUCCUUCUGCUGCUCCUACUGCUCCAGGACGCUGGAGGCCAGCAAGGUGAUGGAUGUGGACACACUGUACUAGGCCCUGAGAGUGGAACCCUUACAUCCAUCAACUACCCACAUACCUAUCCUAACAGCACUGUGUGUGAAUGGGAGAUUCGAGUCAGGACGGGAGAAAGGAUUCGCAUCAAAUUCGGUGACUUUGACAUUGAAGAUUCUGAUUAUUGUCACCUUAAUUACCUGAAAAUCUUUAAUGGAAUUGGAGUCAGCAGAACGGAAAUAGGCAAAUACUGUGGUCUGGGUUUACAAAUGAAUCAGUCAAUUGAGUCCAAAGGCAGUGAAGUCACAGUGCUGUUCAUGAGUGGAACCCAUGCUGCUGGGCGAGGAUUUUUGGCUUCAUACUCAGUUAUAGAUAAAGAAGAUUUAAUCACUUGUUUGGAUACUGUAUCUAAUUUUUUGGAACCAGAGUUCAGUAAGUACUGCCCAGCUGGCUGUCUUUUGCCUUUUGCUGAAAUAUCUGGAACAAUUCCUCAUGGAUACAGAGAUUCUUCACCAUUGUGUAUGGCUGGAAUCCAUGCAGGAGUAGUGUCAAACGUGCUGGGUGGCCAAAUCAGCAUUGUGAUUAGCAAAGGGACCCCAUAUUAUGAAAGCUCUUUGGCCAACAAUGUCACUUCCACGGUGGGAUACUUAUCUGCAAGUCUGUUUACAUUUAAGACAAGUGGUUGCUAUGGGACUCUGGGGAUGGAGUCUGGUGUGAUUGCCGAUCCCCAGAUAACAGCAUCGUCUGCACUGGAGUGGACUGACCACAUGGGGCAGGAGAACAGCUGGACAGCGGAGAAGGCCAGGCUGAGAAAACCCGGGCCUCCCUGGGCUGCUUUUGCCACUGAUGAGCAUCAGUGGCUGCAGAUAGACCUUAACAAGGAGAAGAAGAUAACAGGUAUCGUAACCACUGGGUCUACCAUGAUAGAACACAGUUACUAUGUGUCUGCCUACAGAGUCCUGUACAGUGACGAUGGGCAGAGAUGGACUGUGUACAGAGAACCUGGUGUGGACCAGGACAAGAUAUUUCAAGGAAACAAAGAUUAUCACAAGGAUGUUCGUAAUAACUUUUUGCCACCAAUUAUUGCACGUUUCAUUAGAGUGAACCCUGUCCAGUGGCAACAGAAAAUUGCCAUGAAAGUGGAACUGCUCGGAUGUCAGUUUACUCUCAAAGGUCGCCUUCCAAAGCUUACUCCACCUCCUCGGAACGGCAAUAACCUCAGAAAUACUACAGCUCGUCCCAAACUAGGUAAAGGUCGUGCCCCUAAAUUUACUCAAGUGCUCCAACCUCGAAGUAGGAAUGAACUUCCUGUGCAGCCGGCGGAGACAACUACCACUCCUGAUAUAAAAAACACGACUGUAACUCCCAGUGUAACCAAAGAUGUCGCACUGGCUGCCGUUCUGGUCCCUGUGCUGGUCAUGGCCCUCACCACACUCAUCCUCAUUCUAGUGUGUGCUUGGCACUGGAGAAACAGGAAGAAGAAAACUGAAGGCGCCUAUGAUUUACCCCACUGGGAUCGGGCAGGUUGGUGGAAAGGAAUGAAGCAGCUUCUCCCUGCCAAGUCGGUGGACCACGAGGAGACGCCAGUGCGCUACAGCACUAGUGAAGUCAGUCACCUGAGUGCCAGGGAAGUCACCACAGUGCUGCAGGCCGACUCUGCAGAAAUCUAAAAUAAGACUCAGUCCCUCUUGGGAUUUGAUGAAACAGCAGACGCCAUGAGGCUAGCCAAAGAAUCCAAGACCCACAAUUUAGAGACUGCUGCCACAGGAAAAUAACUACUCAACCAGAAUCCUGUUUUCAGCCUUUGGGAACUCAAGAAUGUGAAAAGGGAAACAGGCCGUGAGAGACGAAACUCAGGAAAACGACUUGUAAGGACCUGAGUUCCACGUCUAGCAUGUGUGUAAAAUGCUAAGUGUGGGAACUUUGACCACACUUGUGAUCCCAUCACUGGAGAGAUGGCAACAGACUGAUCUCCGAUUGGCUGGCCAGACCGCCUACACUGCUAAGUAAAUUCUGUACCAGUGGGAGACUAAAAGAAACUGAGCAGUUAACACUUAACUCUGACCUCCUGAGACACCCACACAUGUAUGCACCUACAAACAUGAACACAAUACAUUUUGUUUUUUAAAGCAGUAAAAGGGGAAAAUUACCUGCUUCAUCAAAGACAUGGUGGCAUUCCCGUAGUAGUGUAAAGGACUGUUGGGGCUGUAAAAGUUGUACUUAAAACCAGCGAGGUGCACUUCACUGCAUAUGUGAAAGGCCAUUGUGAUGGCAAUAAUUCCUGUUGUAGGGUGUUUGGGUUUCUAAGAAGAAAUCAGAAACUUCAAAAGUCAGAAAAAGCUACAUUCUUUCCAAACAUAGUUGGCUGCCCUGGUCUGAUGAAAAUGGAUUUCUAAACAUUAACAGAGACAUUUUCAGCCAUUGUUAUGCCGUAAGACUCAAGCCCCAAAGAGAACACAGUCCUCUGACGAGGAUGUAACACUAUGGUUGAUAUCUUGGAAAGUCUUUAGGUCAGGAGAGUCUGUUCUCUGAUUUGUGCCCUUGUGGACAACACUUCAUUUUUCUCCCUUCUCCAGCCUUUGAGAUUGGAGCAUUCUAACACACUCCCACAACGGUGUGCCACCCCCAGCAUAUGACAGGAACUUCUAGAACAGAGCUAAAAGGGUCUCUUAUUGCGAUGGGAGGCCAAAGCCAGGCAGAUCUCUGAGUCUGAGGCCAGCCUGGUCUACAAAGUGAGUUCUAGGACAGCCAGGGCUAUACAGAGAAACCCUAUCUGGAAAAAUGGGGUAGGGGGAGUUGCUUCCUGAUAUGUGUGUCUGCCUCAGGUAUUUCAUGUGGGUGGACACAGUGCUUGAGACAAUUCUUUUCACUCUUAAAAGCUACAUCCUUGUCCUGAAGCUCUUCUGUACACAAGGCUGCUGCGCAGUCCACUAGUCACUCAGGCCUUGAUGUACAACACUGAGGAUGAGAUUGUAAGAAAUGAACUAUUGGCCAUUCAGAAAAAAGAGUCUGAAGGCUGUGUGUACAAAAGAACCCCAAAACAUACACUCCUCCCUUAAAAACAUUUUUGGCAACCUGUAAGACAUGAGAGCAUAUCCAUUUGGUGUCCAACUUCAUGAACACAUCUAUAGUCCUAAGAAAUUAUCAUUGAGCCAUGGUUCUUAGUUAGCAAUUGCUAAGAGCUCUCAUGUCCCUCUAUGCCCUGGGCUGGAUGCUUAGUGUAAAACUGUGGGAUGAUAUAUACAUACCUGAUCCUUGGGAAAUACUCUGGGAAAACGAAGCAUUUGAAAAGCUGCUUCGCUGGUGAUAUAUGGAUCUAAUAUUCUGAUUUGGUAUUGUUUAUAGAUCAGUUUUAAGGCUGGUGUCUUCCAAAACCCUUGAGUAUUCUGAAAUAAAGAACACAGAAAAUGGGAUGUUGGGAAUGUAUUUUACUUUAGAGGGGGGAGGGGAAAUACUGAACAUAAUCUGAACCUAAAUAGUUUUGCCAACUUACUAUUUUUUUACCUAGCAGUAUUUCCACCAGCCACCUUAAAUCCUGUGGCUUAAAGACGACGAGAACCGCUGUAGUAUUGGGGUCAUAGUGACUGGAGUCUGAAAAGACAGACUCUGGAUAAAAAAGCCUGAAGGUUGUUCUUGUCCCAACUUCCUCUUCAUGGCCUAAGACAGGACCGUUGUUCAUUCUGUGAGUGGUAAGACAACAGCAUACAGGAUAAGUGGAGGGUAAGCCAUUUCAUCGCGUUCUGAGGUUUCAGAAUUGCGCAGGUGUCUGCACUCUGCAACCCCAAGAUUAAUAUUUUACAAUAAUGACAUUCUUUCUCACAAGACAGUCAUCUGUAUUCAAAUACUAAUUAUAGCAUCAGUCAUUCAGUCUGACCUGCACACAACGGAAAGAAAUGAAAAUACAGAGCCACGAGAGUUACUGCAGUUAGAAAGAGACCAUGGUGGAUAACCACACAAAGCCACUUUGGAUUGACAACUAAAGGCCCAGAAUUCUUGAGAAAGUUAUAUGCCUACAGGCUACACAGCCCUAAAAUACGAGGAUGUGUAUACUACAUAACUGAUAAGCAUGAAGAAUCACAUUUGAACUAAGCGUGAAGACCCACUGAAAUUGCGUUCUGGGCUGGAAAGAUGGCUCAGUGGUUAAAAGCUUUUGGUGUUCUUCCAGAGACCUGAAGGUCAGUUCCCAGCACCCACAUGCUGGCUCACAACUGUCCCUAACUCCAGUUCCAAGGAAUCCUGUGCCACCUUCUGGUUUCCACAGGCACCAGGCACACACAAACUGUGUGCUUACAUACAUGCACGCAAACACUCAUAAAAGUAAAUCCUUAUUGUUUUUUAAGUAUUCUGAAAUUAGCCCCAUAAAAAUUCUAUAUCACACUCAGCACAAUUAGAGGAAUGCCUUUUGCAACUGAACUAAAAACACUACAAAAGAUUACGACUGCUGGAUUAGUUCAAGGCCAAAGUCAAGACACUCACUGAGGACACACUAUAAAGGCAUUCUAUUAGAAAAAGAAAUGUUUUGUUUCUAAAACAAUGUUCCUUGGGAGGAUAAAUGCUGUUUUACUCUUUUGCCACCAGCUCUAUACUACUAGAUUCUUGCAGUGGGUUUCAAAAUGUACUCAUGAUAUUUCCCUACAAAGACUGGCUAAGGUUCUGAAAAGUAUCCAAGUCAAACAUCUCUACGUGGGAAAAUGGAUGAAUCUAAUUGUUCUAUAAAUUACCACAACUUCUUCAAAAUGGGUAAUAAAGAGAAAAUAAUAAUAAUCUUGUUCUGCAGCCAUUAGCUUUUAACCCAGAAAACCUCCAGAUGCACUGCAGGGCCUUCCCAGUGUGUGGCCACAGUGGCUGCUUAUUUGGAGUACGUCACCACAUCUAAUAAAGCAGCAAAUGUAACCUAGCUCCAGUUUGUCCACUUCCCCAAUUGUGCCCAAGCAUCUGCUGCCCAAAUAUAGCAACGACUCUUGAUGCCUCAGCCCAUUCCUUAUCCCUCAGGCAGCAUUGUCUGCUGCAGCCAGAAUGCUUUCAAAAAAUGCUUCAUUGAGAUCCUAUGUGAAAGGCUUCUGACGCUCCUAAUGGCCUUAAUAAUGUAGUCUUUGAACCUUAAAAAUCCCUGCAUAGCCUGCUCUUUGCCCACCUCAGCAGCUUCUUGUUAGACCACUCUCCUGAACUCUCUGCUGCUCUUCUGAAGGAUAAAAGCCUCCUGAGGAACUGCAAUACCCAUCCUGUCUGGACAGCUCCUCCACUUAUCUUCACAUAGCUAGUCUUGUAUGUGUCCUUUGGUCUAGCUUAAAUUAAAUUUCACCUCUAAACGGUAACCCUUUCCCAAGUAGUCACUUGAUAAUUCUGUAUCAUCUCUUUUAUUUGUCUAUGAUAUACUAUCUGCUUAUAUAUUUGAUUACUGUUUUUCCCAUUUUUUUUAGAAUGUAAAUACUAUAAGGUACAAACACACUCUUAUCAUGCACUAAUCUCCCUUACGUCUAGCUUUGUCCCUGGCAUAUCAAGUGGACUAGUUAAAUAUUUGCUGAAUCAGUGAUCUGAAACCUAGUUUACUAUAGCCAGUAACCAAGGCAGCAAAGCUGUAUAAUCAGGUGCAUAAAUGGCCAAGUACUCUUUAAACACAGCUGUCCUGGAGUAGAAAACCACCUUCUCUUCAAGCAGUUCUAGGUUAGUGGCUAGGAGAUGUACUUACCUUAUUAUUACAUCAUAGGAGUCAAUUGUUGCUCCUAAUGUCUUAUUCUUCAACACUCCUCCAUUACCAACCACCACACACCUUUUACAUGGCACUCUGUUGGGCAAACAGACAAGGGAAAGACUGAGUCAUCACAUUUACAAAACCGGGUGAUUCUAAGAACCUGCUCCUGCUUUCUGGAACCAAGUUAAAUUCCACUUGACACACAGGACCCUUUUCUCCAGCCUGCAGAGCCCGAACUCAUAUCUUUGCUCAACAUCUGCCCAGAGACAUAGAAAACAGGUAGUGGUUGUACUGUGAUUUCCCCACAAAUGACCCAACUGUUGAUGGAAAAUCACAACUUCCUCUUGCCCUCUGUUCCCCCCACCCUACAAAGGUCAGCCCUUCAUUCAGCAGGAUUGUCGGAUGGCGUGUGGAUGGGUAGUAGACCUUCACCAUGCUCAUAGUGCCUCUGACAAGCUUCCAGCCUAUUCUUUUUAACUCUUCUAUCCUAGACGCCUCGCCUCAUAACCAAUCCAGUUCUGUCGAGCUGACAUAAUGGGUCCCACUUCAGUGAGCAGAAGGCAGCUUUUUACAGACCAUCCCCCAUAUAGCUGCCAACUGACUUAGCACAGGUGUUUCCCUUAGAAAGCUAUUAAUAUGCAGUUACUAUAUAACUAACUAGGCCACAGGACUAAAGCAUUCUUCAUCUGACGGAUGGGGGGUAGGGAGCUAGUUUGUGCACAUUCCAUGGAGGCUACAGUUCUGCCAUCUCAAGGCUUCUGUCGCUCCUAGCUGGGGAGGGAUAAAAUUCCACCCAAGAGAUUGCAGUAUCCCUGGGAGCAGGGCUAAGCUAGAGAAAGGGGUGACAGAGACAGCAAGGAAGUCGGAACUUUAGGAUUUGGGCUAGUUUUAAGUGUCCCUGGCAAUGUCCUUGAAAUGUCUAUUUUUGGAGAAGCUCGCUAAGCAAUGCAGCAGUGCUCACUGGGCUUGGGCGACGACAGGAGCUAGACCGGGCUGUUUAGCCUAGUUGACUUCAGAACCUUCCAUGCCACAGAAACACUUGGGGACCAAAGAAAUGACAGGGAAAGCUACUAAAAAGGACUGUCAUUGUGCUUCCUUUGUCCUUUAAAUAAGACAUUUCUGUCAUUGCAUUUUUUGUUUACUUUGUUUGACAGAGAGCCCCACGUUCUUCCUUUUUCCUGUGUGGAUACUGGAAUUAAAUCCCUGAUGAAAGGCUUGGCAGAAAACACCCAUAUCUCCCGAGCCAUCUUACUAGCCCCAGGACUUGCUGUUUUUAAAGGAAUGAAGAUGUGAUGGGUUGAACUCCAGCUUGCAUGUUGGCCCCUAAAGAGGAAGCCAUGUACUGAGGAACGGCAGGAUCCAACACAGAGAGGCCUUGGCCCUGAUGACCACAGAACUGCUGAGACAGCCCUGCAGAGUGCAUGCAUGUAAACAAACAGAGACAGACAGACAGAUGGACGGAUGAAUGGACAGAUGGAUAGAUGAACACACAGAUGGACAGAUGAACAGGCAGACAGAAAGAGGGAGAGGGAGAGAGAGAGGUAUCUAACUUAUAAAUAUAACCAAUUUUUCUCCCUCACAGAUUUCUGAGCCAUUAUCAUCAUGGUGGGAACAUGGCAGCAUCCAGGCCAGCAUGGCUCUAGAGGAUCUGAGAGUUCUACAUCUUGUUCCUGCAGGCAAAAAGGAGAAAACUGACAGCUAGGACCAGGGGAUUAAAGCCCAUGCCCACAGUGACACACUUGCUCCCACAAGGCCACACCUAUUCCAACAAGGCCACACCUCCUAAAAGUAUCACUCCCUGUGGGCUAAGCAUUCAAACACAUUCGUCUAUUGGGCCAAACCUAUUCAAACCACCACAACAGAGGACUCCACCAAAGUAGCAGACUUGCUUGAUGAAGUGCUCUGAACCACACUAAUAGCACAGAGCUUAUAUUUGAAACAGAAAAAAAUAAAUGUGAAAGAGGAUAAAAUGAAGGGAAAAGGUUCUGUUGGAUGAAUUUGGCACAGGCUGAUGGGAGUGAGAACAUUUGUAGUAAUGCAGAGGAAAAGGUAGGGCGAGCCAGACCAAGUCAGUAAGAAAGAAGAAAACAGCUAGCUAAGGCACAGGCAAAUGGCUGAAGACCUCACUUUGCCAGAGAUAUCCUUGCAAA